Molecule: ribosomal RNA, 432 nt
Filed under: uncultured Anaerolineaceae bacterium
Lineage: Bacteria; Bacillati; Chloroflexota; Anaerolineae; Anaerolineales; Anaerolineaceae
Description: bacterial SSU rRNA
Rfam family: Bacterial small subunit ribosomal RNA
Source: RNAcentral
UGGAUGAUGUGGAUUAAUUCGAUGCAACGCGAAGAACCUUACCUGGGUUUGACAUAUAGGUUGUAGGGAACUGAAAGGGACCGACCUUCGGGAGCCUAUACAGGUGUUGCAUGGCUGUCGUCAGCUCGUGUCGUGAGAUGUUCGGUUAAGUCCGCUAACGAGCGCAACCCUCGUCGUAUGUUAUAUGUGUCAUACGAGACUGCCGGUAAAAGCCGGAGGAAGGUGAGGAUAAUGUCAAGUCAGCAUGACCUUUAUAUCCAGGGCUACACACACGCUACAAUGGUCUGUACAAUGGGUAGCCAAGCCGCGAGGCGGAGCCAAUCCUGAAAGCAGGCCUCAGUUCAGAUUGCAGUCUGCAACUCGACUGCAUGAAGCCGGAGUUGCUAGUAACCGCAGGUCAGCAAUACUGCGGUGAAUACGUUCCCGGGUCUU